UACGAAGGGGGCUAGCGUUGUUCGGAAUCACUGGGCGUAAAGCGCACGUAGGCGGAUGUGCCAGUCAGGGGUGAAAUCCUGGAGCUCAACUCCAGAACUGCCUUUGAUACUGAAGAUCUUGAGUUCGGGAGAGGUGAGUGGAACUGCGAGUGUAGAGGUGAAAUUCGUAGAUAUUCGCAAGAACACCAGUGGCGAAGGCGGCUCACUGGCCCGAUACUGACGCUGGGGUGCGAAAGCAUGGGGAGCGAACAGG
This 253-nucleotide ribosomal RNA is filed under the name uncultured bacterium. RNAcentral describes it as "partial 16S ribosomal RNA". It matches the Rfam family "Bacterial small subunit ribosomal RNA", at positions 524 to 776 of the family's 1533-position model. The record is from RNAcentral.